AAUCAACGCUGGCGGCGUGCCUAACACAUGCAAGUCGAACGCGAAAGUCCCGCAAGGGAUAAGUAGAGUGGCAAACGGGUGAGUAACACGUGGGUGACCUGCCUUCGAGUGGGGGAUAACGUCCCGAAAGGGACGCUAAUACCGCAUAACAUCCUGCCUUUGAAGAGGUGGAGAUCAAAGCUGGGGACCGCAAGGCCUGGCACUGGAAGAGGGGCCCGCGUCUGAUUAGCAGUUGGUGAGGUAACGGCUCACCAAGGCUACGAUCAGUAUCCGGCCUGAGAGGGCGGACGGACACACUGGGACUGAGACACGGCCCAGACUCCUACGGGAGGCAGCAGGUGGGGAAUUGUUCGCAAUGGGCGCAAGCCUGACGACGCAACGCCGCGUGGAGGA
Molecule: ribosomal RNA, 393 nt
Filed under: uncultured bacterium
Lineage: Bacteria
Description: bacterial SSU rRNA
Rfam family: Bacterial small subunit ribosomal RNA
Source: RNAcentral